UACGGAGGAUCCGAGCGUUAUCCGGAUUUAUUGGGUGUAAAGGGAGCGUAGACGGAGCAGCAAGUCUGAUGUGAAAACUGGGGGCUCAACCUCCAGCCUGCAUUUGAAACUGUAGUUCUUGAGUGCUGGAGAGGCAAUCGGAAUUCCGUGUGUAGCGGUGAAAUGCGUAGAUAUGUGGAAGAACACCGAUGGCGAAGGCAGCCUCCUGGGACAUAACUGACGCUCAGGCACGAAAGCGUGGGGAGCAAACAGG
RNAcentral lists this ribosomal RNA (253 nucleotides) under Flavonifractor plautii. RNAcentral describes it as "partial 16S ribosomal RNA". It matches the Rfam family "Bacterial small subunit ribosomal RNA", at positions 524 to 776 of the family's 1533-position model. The record is from RNAcentral. Lineage: Bacteria; Bacillati; Bacillota; Clostridia; Eubacteriales; Oscillospiraceae.